RNAcentral lists this ribosomal RNA (253 nucleotides) under uncultured bacterium. RNAcentral describes it as "partial 16S ribosomal RNA". It matches the Rfam family "Bacterial small subunit ribosomal RNA", at positions 524 to 776 of the family's 1533-position model. The record is from RNAcentral.
UACGUAGGGUGCGAGCGUUGUCCGGAAUUAUUGGGCGUAAAGGGCUCGUAGGCGGUCUGUCGCGUCGGGUGUGAAAACUCAAAGCUUAACCCUGAGCCUGCUUCCGAUACGGGCAGACUAGAGGUAUGCAGGGGAGAACGGAAUUCCUGGUGUAGCGGUGAAAUGCGCAGAUAUCAGGAGGAACACCAGUGGCGAAGGCGGUUCUCUGGGCAUUACCUGACGCUGAGGAGCAAAAGUGUGAGGAGCGAACAGG